UUUUGCGCAAUAGGGGAAACCCUGACGCAGCAACGCCGCGUGAGUGAAGAAGGCCUUCGGGUCGUAAAGCUCUGUCAAGUGGGAAAAAAAUCAACCAGUGAAUAGCUGGUUGGCCUGAUGGUACCACUAGAGGAAGCACCGGCUAACUCCGUGCCAGCAGCCGCGGUAAUACGGAGGGUGCAAGCGUUGUUCGGAAUUACUGGGCGUAAAGCGCGUGUAGGCGGUUUGGUAAGUCAGAUGUGAAAGCCCUGGGCUCAACCCAGGAAGUGCAUUUGAUACUGCCUUACUCGAGUAUGGGAGAGGAGAGUGGAAUUCCCAGUGUAGAGGUGAAAUUCGUAGAUAUUGGGAGGAACACCCGUGGCGAAGGCGACUCUCUGGACCAAUACUGACGCUGAGACGCGAAAGCGUGGGGAGCAAACAGG
RNAcentral lists this ribosomal RNA (422 nucleotides) under uncultured bacterium. RNAcentral describes it as "bacterial SSU rRNA". It matches the Rfam family "Bacterial small subunit ribosomal RNA", at positions 362 to 776 of the family's 1533-position model. The record is from RNAcentral.